UCUUCCGCAAUGGACGAAAGUCUGACGGAGCAACGCCGCGUGAGUGAUGAAGGUUUUCGGAUCGUAAAACUCUGUUGUUAGGGAAGAACACGUACCGUUCGAAUAGGGCGGUACCUUGACGGUACCUAAACAGCAAGCCACGGCUAACUACGUUCCAGCAGCCGCGGUAAUAAGUAGGUGGCCGGCGUUGUCCGGAAUUAUUGGGCGUAAAGCGCGCGCAGGCGGUUUCUUAAGUCUGAUGUGAAAGCCCCCGGCUCAACCGGGGAGGGUCAUUGGAAACUGGGGAACUUGAGUGCAGAAGAGGAGGGUGGAAUUCCACGUGUAGCGGUGAAAUGCGUAGAGAUGUGGAGGAACACCAGUGGCGAAGGCGACUCUCUGGUCUGUAACUGACGCUGAGGCGCGAAAGCGUGGGGAGCGAACAG
Molecule: ribosomal RNA, 422 nt
Filed under: uncultured bacterium
Lineage: Bacteria
Description: bacterial SSU rRNA
Rfam family: Bacterial small subunit ribosomal RNA
Source: RNAcentral